CCAGCAGCACCCUGCACCGAACCAACAACCUUCUCUUUCAAUGGUGGUGAUCCAAAUCAGUGUGGAGCAGAAUGCACCAUAGAGAUGUACAACUCUCCUGUUGAACACCUCAAGACUGAAGACUGCAAGGAAAGAACGCUAAUCUACACCGAGCAUCUGAAGAACAACAAACAAGUCCUCCAGCACAUUGAAUCCAAAACCUGUUCCAGUUCCUCAGACACCAUCAGAGACUGUUUUGAAAGCCCUCUACGAUCAGGUCUGGAUAAAAAGAAACUUUGCCAACCACUGCAAGUAUCAAGUGUUUUAAAUUUUGUUUGACUGUUUAUUAUGUACUUAUUUGUUUUGGGUUGUAUUAAGUUUGAUAUUAAUUAGAUCAGUGCCUUUUUAG
Long non-coding RNA from Oreochromis aureus, 388 nucleotides. The record is from Ensembl. Lineage: Eukaryota; Metazoa; Chordata; Actinopteri; Cichliformes; Cichlidae.